RNAcentral lists this long non-coding RNA (5245 nucleotides) under Brachypodium distachyon (stiff brome). RNAcentral's name for it is "long non-coding RNA (BDIS_LNC000098)". Lineage: Eukaryota; Viridiplantae; Streptophyta; Magnoliopsida; Poales; Poaceae. The record is from RNAcentral.
UUGUUUACGCCAUCAAGGCACCACUUAUCUUACUCUGUCAUGGCUGUGUGCAUCGAUUGAUGCAGAGGCCGGGGCUUUUCCCCCUUUUCGAAAAAAAAAACUUAUCUUACUCUGUUAGAUGAUCUCAAAAUCAUCCUCUUAUGCCAUUCUGCGCAGAUUGCACAAUUUAAGCAUAUCCUGGGAGUGAAGCCAACACCUCCAGGUUUACUACGUGGUGUUCCUACCAAAACUUAUUCAAGAUCUACGGACCUCCCAAAAGAGUUUGAUGCCAGAUCUAAAUGGUCUGGUUGCAGCACAAUUGGGACCAUACUUGGUAAGUUUGACUAGGCACCUCAAUGUUUUCUAUUACCACUUUCAACCAGAAAUAUGUUCUUCAUCGUUUUGAAUAAACUGAUCCACUUCAUUUCCUCAUCUUUUUGGGCAAUACCAUGGAAAAUGCUGAUUUCCGCGAGCAGAUCAAGUAAGUCUAUGCAGUCUACCUUAAAUUGUUAGUACCAUAAUUGCAUACUGGACAAUGCAAGAGGCUCAAGGUAUAUGUCUGGUUUAAUUAUAACAGGGUCACUGUGGUUCUUGCUGGGCCUUCGGUGCUGUGGAGUGUCUCCAGGAUCGUUUCUGCAUUCAUCUUAACAUGGUGAGUGCAUAUGAACUAAAUGCCUGUUCUCAGGACUACUUUUAAACCGGCAUCUUCAGUCUUUUUUUAUUACAUAACCAAGCUGAUGUUUCUUUUGCUCGCAGAACAUCUCACUUUCUGUCAAUGACCUAGUGGCUUGCUGUGGUUUUAUGUGUGGUGAUGGUUGUGAUGGAGGAUAUCCUAUCAGCGCAUGGCAGUACCUCGUUGAGAAUGGUGUUGUUACUGACGAGGUAUACCUUACUCUUCUGAUUUCUCCCCCUUGAAUAUUCAGAUCCUCUAAGUGCAAUUCUGUUAUCAUAUCACUUAUAGUUUUAUUUCUAUGUUCUAACUUCUGACUACAAUAUCUUGAUGAAAAACUUCUAACUAGAAUGGUUAGUGUGUGGAAUAUGUGAAACAAUGCAAUGGAAACAGGAUGUCUUAUCAAGUUUAAUGCACACAUCAACAGAAUUCUGCUAUUUGUGAAGAAAUUUUGCAGUUGAGUUCUAGUGCAUGUCUCAUCUGGUGCUAAAUAAACAUUUUACAUUCGAAUCAAAACAUUGGAAAGUAGUAUUGGGUGAAUUUGCAAGUUAACAGAGAACACUGAAGAGUACAAUAUGCUUCUACUACUUUCUGAUGUUUAAAAAUUUCAGCUUGAUCUUCAAGAAAAUUUCUCCCGAUGAACAUACAUGGCUUUUCUUUGCUUACAUAGAAUGGCUACUAGUUAGAUUGUCUCCACAAAUGGUGGCUGCUUUGUCCAGCUGAACUGUUUAUGGUUUUCUCUUCUUUAAUAUUAUCCAAUAAUAUUAUUUAUUCAAGUAGGAGACCAGCCUGCCUUUUGUUGUAUAAUACUAUGUUUGCUUGGCAGACCAUUGACCCUGAUCUCUUUCACUGUUUUGCAGUGCGAUCCAUACUUUGAUCAGGUUGGCUGCAAGCAUCCUGGAUGCGAACCUGCUUAUCCUACACCAGCAUGUGAAAAGAAAUGCAAGGUGCAGAACCAAGUUUGGCAGGAAAAGAAACAUUUCAGCAUCAAUGCAUACAGAGUAAAUUCUGAUCCACAUGACAUAAUGGCGGAGGUCUACAAAAAUGGCCCUGUAGAAGUUGCUUUCACAGUUUAUGAGGUAACUUUAAUAUGAUUUACUCCCUAUUCUUGAUUUUUUACGUUGAUUUACCAAUUCUGUCAAAAUGUUGGUUAACCAAAGACAUAGACUACGGGUCAGAGUUACUGUUAUUACUUUGAUAUGAACAAACAGAAUACAAAAAAACUUUGAAAAGCUGUAAAUCUGGAUGAACCAUUUUCUUUAGAAAAGGACAUGCCAAUAGGGGAGAGAAUAACAAAAUAUAUGUACUUGAGUGAGCACACUGAAAUAGUUUUGUAAUUCUUCAAGCUUUGAAUUUUCCCAGUCAGCUAAUCAUCUGAUACACAGAACAUAUGAUCUGUGAUUAUUUAUAUAAUAUGGUAAUUCUAUGAUGAGGAUUAAAAGAAAGAAAGUAUCCUCAAAAAAAGGAAUCAAAAGAGAGUGCUUUGUUUCUCUGGUUACUGAUUUAAUACUGCCAAAUUGUGAAGGACUUUGCACACUACAAAUCUGGAGUCUACGAGCACAUCACAGGUGAAAUGAUGGGAGGUCAUGCUGUCAAGCUGAUUGGAUGGGGAACCAGUGCUGAUGGCAAAGAUUACUGGGUAUCUUGCUGAUUCUCUAUGUUACACUAUUUGAACCAAUGGUCAAGUUCUAAUUUGUUUUCUUUUGACUUCUGCUUUUCAGCUUCUUGCAAAUCAGUGGAACAGAGGCUGGGGUGAUGUGAGUUUGUGAUAACUACCCUUCAGUAUUAUUGAAGUGCCACAGUGAAUGUUAGUAGCAUGCGUUUAGCUAAUUAAUAAAUGUUGGCUGGUAAUGCAUUGCAGGACGGAUACUUCAAGAUCAUAAGGGGCAAGAAUGAGUGUGGCAUCGAAGAAGAUGUGGUUGCCGGUAUGCCCUCAACAAAGAACACUGUCAGGACCGGCGCCUAUGGAACGGCUAUACUUUGAACAGCGCCGGCCUCAAAUGCAGUUCCAGUUAGCUAUUUUCACGCCAGAUGAAGUGGGUAAACUAGCUUUGGUGGUUCCAAGAAACUAUUCCCCGUACACUAGCACACGUUCACAACGUUGAUAUGUUGUUGUAAUCGCAACACUUGUUCAUAAACAAAAUGGAAUAAUAUCAAGUAUUAUGAAAGCAAGCAAUCGUACGAUGCUUUUUGUAUGUUUGUUUUACGACGCUGCAGCAUUUUGUGGAAAAGCAUCAGUAAAUGCAGUGAAAACAAGAAUGCAAUUUCGCUCAUUAUAAAUUCUGAUCACGGAUUACAAGAUGCGUCAAUCUUCUAUUUCUGUAUUGACGAAAAAUAAGAAGAAAAGAAACCAAUCCCUUCCAACCCCCAGCUUCCCGCUUCGCUUUGCUGAACAAAGAUCAGACCUAAAUAAUCCCCAGGCACUCAUCUUCAGAUGUUGGUGAAAUGGAAUCGGGGCGCGCGCAGGCAAAAAAUAUCGGCGGUCGCCAUCGUAUCGGAGGCGUAGCGUCUGCGCCCGCCUCGCCCUCCCUCCGUCCCCGGAACCAAUAAAAAGGGGCAGCGUAUGCGAGGAGGAGGAGGAGAAAGCAAAGCAACCCCAUCAGCAGCAGCUUCUACUGAUUGCUUCUCCUGCAGUGGCCGAUCGAGGAAGAUGAGGGGCGUCUCCCUUGCGCUGCCGCUGGCGCUGCUCGUCGCCUUCUGUGCUGCUGCUGCCCCGCAGGUUCGCUUCUUCUACCGCGAUCCCAUGUUUUAGAAAGUCAAAGCCCUUCGAUUUCUUCCUCGCAAGAUCCAAAUCCUGUUUGGUUCGUUACUUAGUUAGCGGAGAUUAACUCGGUUGGGUUUUCCGUUUACCGGGAAGUUGGGAUCGCCGGCUCUAGUUUGUUUUUCAAGAAUUUCAGUAUCUCUCCGCGUUUACGCAAUCAUAAUUUAUUACAAAUGGGUAACUGAAGCGGACAGAAAUGACAAAUGUCGACAAGAAGAAGAAAAAUGUCAACAAAUAUCUACCACACCAACCAGUGAAGGCCUGCAGGCAGGGCUCCAGCUGGGUGCUUCCCUUGGCUGUAAUCGCCUGCUUAUUCACUCGCAUUGCUUGGAAGCAAUACUUUGUGAAGGUCUUGUUUGAGUUUUGUCCAAGGGAGGCGAAUGAAGCGGUAAACUUGUUUCUUAGAGGAAAGGCUAAGCGGUAAACUUGUUAGCGAAUCACGCUAGAUCAUAGACAUCUCAGACCUGGUUGGAUGAUACACCGGGAUUUUUACUUCAUAAUGAUUAACGAUGUAAGUUCGUUUGUUAUGUAACAAAGCAGUCUUUUGGUGUAAAAGAAACCCAGUGAAGGCCAGGCCAGAGCUCUGCUGUUCUCUAGUCACUAGUGCUGCAGACCUCAGAAGCUUAGCAGAUAGGCUUCUUCAUCUGCCGCAGGUGGACGGCAGUGAUAGGCUUGAUGAAUAGCUCUGAAACAAAAUUCAAUCUUUUCUUUUUUGGAAGAACAAAACUCGAACCCUAACACCAAGCAAAUAAGUUUGGUGACAAUAUGCACCAGUAACAUUAAGGAAUCAAUCAUGAUGUUAUGCAUCUAUCUGAACCAUAUAUAUUUGCUUCAAGAUAUGAAUGACAUUUGUAUAUGUACGCGCAGCUCGUUGGAGCAGCAAGGGGAGACAAUUCCCUCAGAAUCAUCCAGGUCAUUUAUUUCUCCCCCUCAAAUUGACCUCAUCUUUAUAUCUACUACUUCACAGCUUCUAUUGUCCAUGUAUGUAUCUGCUCAUCCUCAUCAUGGUAUGGUGGUUUGCUGUCGCAGAAUGACAUCAUAGAGACGAUCAAUAAGCAUCCAAAUGCCGGGUGGACAGCUGGUCACAACCCCUACUUUGCAAACUACACAGUAAAUAACAACACCCUCUUGUUGACAUCAUCAAGGCACAAGCUAUCUCACUAUGUUUGCUGAUCUCAAAAUCAUCCUCUUCCGUGCAGAUUACACAAUUUAAGCAUAUCCUGGGAGUGAAGCCAACACCUCCGGCUUUACUAGCUGGUGUUCCAACCAAAUCUUAUUCAAGAUCAAUGAAGCUCCCAACGGAGUUCGACGCUAGAUCUCAAUGGUCUGGUUGCAGCACAAUUGGGACCAUACUUGGUAAGUUUAAUGAGGUACCUCAAUGUUCAGCCAUUUUCAACCUGAAAUCAGUUUUUCGUCCUUUUGAAUACUUCGACAGUUUGACCCACUCCAUUUCCUCUUCUUUGCAAUAUCCUGGAAAAUGCUGAUUUCCGUGAGCAGAUCAAGUAAGUCUAUUCACACAACCUUAAAUGGUUAGCUCCAUGAGUGCUUACCAAAUAAUACAAGAUGCUCAAGGUAUUAUAUCUUGGAUGACGAUGACAGGGUCAUUGUGGUUCUUGUUGGGCCUUUGGUGCCGUGGAGUGUCUCCAGGAUCGUUUCUGCAUUCACCUCAACAUGGUGAGUGCAUAUGAACGACGUGCCUGUUCUGAGACUACUUUCAAAUAGGCAUGUUUGGUCAUUUUUCUCACAUAACCAAGCUGCUGUUUGUACUCCUUGCAGAACAUCUCACUUUCAGUCAAUGACCUACUGGCUUGCUGUGGGUUUUUGUGUGGUUCUGG